Molecule: long non-coding RNA, 506 nt
Organism: Mauremys reevesii (Reeves's turtle)
Lineage: Eukaryota; Metazoa; Chordata; Testudines; Geoemydidae
Exons: 3
Source: RefSeq, a predicted model, not a curated record
GGAUCUUGCAAGCGGCCCAGUCUGAGUGUCCGCAGUGCUAAUAUGCAGGCUGGGUGGCUGCAUACACCCACCCACACAGAGCCAGUCUGUUUUCCAGCCAGGGACCAAGAUGUCUUCAGAGGGCACGGAGUCCUUCCAGCGUGCAGGCAGAACGUCCCCUCUCCCUUCACACCAGACAGCGCCACCGAGAAGUGAGGCCUCCAGUAGGAACAUUACACAACCAGGCUUCUCUAGAGCAGAUGCUUUUCAUAACUAGCCACACAGCCACUUCGAACUCUCCUCUCCUGGGAUGCCUCUGAAAAACUCACAGUGGUGAGGCCGCUGGUCUGCUGAGGGCUGAUCUGCUGGGGGUUGAUCCUACCCUCAGGCCACCCCCAGCUGCUCCCCUUUUCACGACCAGCAAGCCAGACGCGGGACAGAAAUGAAAGUUCUCCAAGACCUAAUCUGAACUGAGGAUUUACCAUGAUACCGAAUAAGCCGCAGCGUCUGCUUGCAGAGCAUCCCAG